GAAUAUUGCACAAUGGGCGCAAGCCUGAUGCAGCCAUGCCGCGUGUGUGAAGAAGGCCUUCGGGUUGUAAAGCACUUUCAGCGGGGAGGAAGGCGAUAAGGUUAAUAACCUUGUCGAUUGACGUUACCCGCAGAAGAAGCACCGGCUAACUCCGUGCCAGCAGCCGCGGUAAUACGGAGGGUGCAAGCGUUAAUCGGAAUUACUGGGC
This 208-nucleotide ribosomal RNA is filed under the name Klebsiella pneumoniae. RNAcentral's name for it is "partial 16S ribosomal RNA". It matches the Rfam family "Bacterial small subunit ribosomal RNA", at positions 359 to 559 of the family's 1533-position model. The record is from RNAcentral. Lineage: Bacteria; Pseudomonadati; Pseudomonadota; Gammaproteobacteria; Enterobacterales; Enterobacteriaceae.